AGUGCACCCAGCACUCCUUGGUCCAGUCUACACACACAAAUUGCUGGGGAAAGUAGGGCUUUUGUAGUCCAAGAUCAAAUCUGCUUACUCAUUUCUCUAACAAUAAAACAAUGAACAGGGUGGUGAUGCAAUGACUACUGCAAUUGACACAAGAUAAUAUCACCAAGGCAACUAUCCGUAAACAAACAACAAACAUCCAUAAAAAUAGCAAAAGUAGUUUCUUUCCCAAGUAGGUUUUAUCUUAAAUAAUUGCAAGCACAGUAAAUAAAGAUCCACUUGUGAGAUACCUGUGGUUCAGUGCUUUACAGUAAUCAGACGUUUCGUCGCUAAAGAGCUUAGUCAUCGAGCUUUGUAGUAAAUAAUAUACAAGAGAAGACAGUAUGUAAAUGACUUAAAGCAGGGGUAUAUCUGUCCCCAUCUGCAUUUUUCCAUUGGGAGGAGCAUAGAAAGAUGACAAUAUUCUUCAGUUAAACCUCCUUCUCGUUUCUCUGGCAGACCCUCUAAACUUCCUGAAACCCAGGAACGCUGAGACCCACACACCUUAUGUUUUCCAGACAGUCUCCUUAUAAGCUACUCAGAAUGUAAAGGCAGCCCACAGUCCCCAAGUUUCUCCCAGACCUCAGAAGAGUGUGCUCAUCUCUUACAACUCUGAUCCUAAGCUUGAAGUUUCACACACACUUACUUCAGUGGUCAGAUUGGUCAA
Long non-coding RNA from Podarcis raffonei (Aeolian wall lizard), 703 nucleotides. RefSeq lists it as uncharacterized. The transcript has 2 exons. Lineage: Eukaryota; Metazoa; Chordata; Lepidosauria; Squamata; Lacertidae. The record is from RefSeq and is a predicted model, not a curated record.